RNAcentral lists this long non-coding RNA (268 nucleotides) under Elaeis guineensis (African oil palm). RNAcentral describes it as "long non-coding RNA (EGUI_LNC081117)". The record is from RNAcentral. Lineage: Eukaryota; Viridiplantae; Streptophyta; Magnoliopsida; Arecales; Arecaceae.
AGACAUGCAUUGAUACACUUAAUAUUUAAACAUGCUCUGAUACCAAAAUUAAAUAAUCAAAUGAGAAUGAGCAAAUUUUCAAGAUAUUAAGAAAAUUGAAAAAUAAGCAAAUGAGAUAUUUUCAAACACGCAAUUUUCAAAUCCUAAGGUAAAUUCUGCUUUGCUCUGAUAACAAAAAUAAAUUUUCUGCUCUGAUACCAAAAUCACAUAAUCAAAUGAGCAAAAUUUUAAAUUAUUAAGCAAUAGGCAAAUUAUUUAUGCAAAUGGA